This 253-nucleotide ribosomal RNA is filed under the name uncultured bacterium. Its description in RNAcentral is "partial 16S ribosomal RNA". It matches the Rfam family "Bacterial small subunit ribosomal RNA", at positions 524 to 776 of the family's 1533-position model. The record is from RNAcentral.
UACGUAGGGUGCAAGCGUUGUCCGGAAUUAUUGGGCGUAAAGAGCUCGUAGGCGGUUUGUUGCGUCGGCUGUGAAAUCCCGAGGCUCAACCUCGGGUCUGCAGUCGAUACGAGCAAACUAGAGUGUUGCAGGGGAGACUGGAAUUCCUGGUGUAGCGGUGAAAUGCGUAGAGAUCCGGAGGAACCCCAGAGGCGAAGGCGGCGCCCUGGCUCGCAACUGACGCUCAGACACGACAGCAUGGGGAGCGAACGGG